This 460-nucleotide ribosomal RNA is filed under the name uncultured bacterium. RNAcentral describes it as "partial 16S ribosomal RNA". It matches the Rfam family "Bacterial small subunit ribosomal RNA", at positions 338 to 795 of the family's 1533-position model. The record is from RNAcentral.
CCUACGGGAGGCAGCAGUGAGGAAUAUUGGUCAAUGGACGGAAGUCUGAACCAGCCACGCCGCGUGCAGGAAGACGGCCCUAUGAGUUGUAAACUGCUUUUGUAUAAGGGUAAACCUGAAUACGUGUAUGUAGCUGUAUGUACUGUACGAAUAAGGAUAGGCUAACUCCGUGCCAGCAGCCGCGGUAAUACGGAGGAUCCGAGCGUUAUCCGGAUUUAUUGGGUUUAAAGGGUGCGUAGGCGGAUUGUUAAGUUAGUUGUGAAAUGUCGGAGCUUAACUCGGGAACUGCCUCUAAUACGGUUGAUCUAGAGAGUAGAUGCGGUAGGCGGAAUGUAUGGUGUAGCGGUGAAAUGCUUAGAGAUCAUACAGAACACCGAUUGCGAAGGCAGCUUACCAAUCUGUAUCUGACGUUGAGGCACGAAAGCGUGGGGAGCAAACAGGAUUAGAUACCCCUGUAGUC